Molecule: long non-coding RNA, 966 nt
Organism: Vombatus ursinus (common wombat)
Lineage: Eukaryota; Metazoa; Chordata; Mammalia; Diprotodontia; Vombatidae
Exons: 3
Source: RefSeq, a predicted model, not a curated record
ACCAGUGUGACCCUGGGACAGUCACUUCCUUUCUUUGGACUCGGUUUUCUCUGCUGUAGGAGAGGUCAUCUGGUCCAAUGCCUUAUUUUAGGGAGAAGUAAACACCUCUAGGCCUCAGUUUCCUCAUCUGUAAAAUGAGGACAUUAGAUCAAAUGGCUCUAGUUCCAAGGUAGAGUGUGAACAGUGUAAAGGAGAAAUCUGAACUGCACUAAGAAAAUAUGAAGCAAGCUUACAAGUGAUCAGCUAGGUUCAUAAACAUCAACCUUAGAAGAAGCAGUCAAUGACAGCAUCCCUGGCCUCAAUGAUGAGUCCCUGGCAGGCCCGGUAAACUUUCACCUCGGGAGGGAUCAGGAAAAGCUCCGUGGAGAAGGCAGUUCCUGAGCAGGGCCUUGAAGAAAGAGAAGGAUUUCAACAGGAGGAGAGAGGAAGGAGGACAUUCUAUCAACCAUUUACACAGCACUUUGAAGUCUGUAAAGCCUUUUAUAAGAAUUAUCUCAGAUUUCCAAUAAAGAAGGUGACUGAAGUCACCAGGGCCUGCAAGCUUGGUUCUCCAGGCUCCACACCCAUGAGCUCCUCAGUCUUCUUCAGGGAAGCGCCAAGGUCAGGGCGGCCACUCCCUUUUGCUUCCCGAAAGAGGAAAGCCCAAGUUGAGAUUUCCUGGAGAAAACCCUCCAGUCACAUCUCUUCUGGACCUGAGAAACAACCUGUUUGACCCACCCCAGCAGUGGAAUCCAACCAGCAGCCAAGGCACCAUGUCAUACCAACAAGGAGAUGACUUGUACAUGGGCUCUGCCAUCCCCAAAAGCCAACUGGGAGGCAUGAAUGUGGAGGGAGAUUGUUGGUAGUCACCACUUUAAGCUGGAGUCUAUCUCCCUUGGGACUAAGAAGGUAGAAGGCAGGCUUUCAGUUUUGUACUUUAGUUCUCGGUAGAUUUUCUCAGUAAACACCCCUUUGUAAAAACUAAUU